This 254-nucleotide ribosomal RNA is filed under the name uncultured bacterium. RNAcentral's name for it is "partial 16S ribosomal RNA". It matches the Rfam family "Bacterial small subunit ribosomal RNA", at positions 524 to 776 of the family's 1533-position model. The record is from RNAcentral.
UACGUAGGGUGCGAGCGUUGUCCGGAAUUAUUGGGCGUAAAGAGCUCGUAGGCGGUCUGCCUCGUCGGUCGUGAAAACUUGGGGCUUAACCCUGAGCUUGCGGUCGAUACGGGCAUGACUGGAGUUCGGCAGGGGAGACUGGAAUUCCUGGUGUAGCGGUGAAAUGCGCAGAUAUCAGGAGGAACACCGGUGGCGAAGGCGGGUCUCUGGGCAUUAACUGACGCUGAGGAGCGAAAGCAUGGGGAGCGAACAGG